CCUACGGGAGGCAGCAGUGGGGAAUAUUGGGCAAUGGGCGAAAGCCUGAUGCAGCAACGCCGCGUGAGCGAUGAAGGCCUUCGGGUCGUUAAGCUCUGUCCUCAAGGAAGCUAAUGACGGUACUUGUGGAGGAAGCCCCGGCUAACUACGUGCAAGCAGCCGCGGUAAUACGGCGGGGGCUAGCGUUAUCCGGAAUUACUGGGCGUUAAGGGUGCGUAGGUGGUUUAUUAAGUCAGAGGUGAAAGGGUACGGCUCAACCGUAGUAAGCCUUUGAAACUGGGGAACUUGAGUGCAGGAGAGGAGAGUGGAAUGCGUGGUGUAGCGGUGAAAUGCGUAGAGAUUAGGAGGAACACCAGUUGCGAAGGCAGCUCUCUGGACUGUAACUGACGCUGAGGCACGAAAGCGUGGGGAGCGAACAGGAUUAGAUACCCUUGUAGUC
This 439-nucleotide ribosomal RNA is filed under the name uncultured bacterium. RNAcentral's name for it is "partial 16S ribosomal RNA". It matches the Rfam family "Bacterial small subunit ribosomal RNA", at positions 338 to 795 of the family's 1533-position model. The record is from RNAcentral.